GUUUUUGUAGUUGAAAGACAACGGUGGUGUUUCAAACCACUGGUCUUGGUUAAAGUCCUAGCAGAAACU
This 69-nucleotide transfer RNA is filed under the name Dendrophysa russelii (goatee croaker). RNAcentral describes it as "tRNA-Glu". It matches the Rfam family "tRNA". Rfam says of the family: Transfer RNA (tRNA) molecules are approximately 80 nucleotides in length. Their secondary structure includes four short double-helical elements and three loops (D, anti-codon, and T loops). Lineage: Eukaryota; Metazoa; Chordata; Actinopteri; Sciaenidae. The record is from RNAcentral.